AACGAACGCUGGCGGCAGGCCUAACACAUGCAAGUCGAACGCUCGUAGCAAUACGAGAGUGGCAGACGGGUGAGUAACACGUGGGAACCUUCCCUAUGGUUCGGAAUAGCUCAGGGAAACUUGAGGUAAUACCGGAUAAGCCCUUCGGGGAAAGAUUUAUCGCCAUUGGAUGGGCCCGCGUCGGAUUAGCUAGUUGGUGAGGUAACGGCUCACCAAGGCGACGAUCCGUAGCUGGUCNGAGAGGAUGAUCAGCCACACUGGGACUGAGACACGGCCCAGACUCCUACGGGAGGCAGCAGUGGGGAAUUUUGGACAAUGGGCGCAAGCCUGAUCCAGCCAUGCCGCGUGCGGGAAGAAGGCC
This 361-nucleotide ribosomal RNA is filed under the name uncultured bacterium. RNAcentral's name for it is "bacterial SSU rRNA". It matches the Rfam family "Bacterial small subunit ribosomal RNA", at positions 29 to 416 of the family's 1533-position model. The record is from RNAcentral.